UAAGCGGAGGAAAAGAAACUAACAAGGAUUCCCCUAGUAACUGCGAGUGAAGCGGGAAAAGCUCAAAUUUAAAAUCUGGCGGUCUUUGGCCGUCCGAGUUGUAAUUUAGAGAAGCGUCUUNCGCGCCGGACCGUGCACAAGUCUCCUGGAAUGGAGCGUCAUAGAGGGUGAGAAUCCCGUCUUUGGCACGGAUGCCCGGUGCUUCUGUGAUGCGCUCUCGAAGAGUCGAGUUGUUUGGGAAUGCAGCUCAAAAUGGGUGGUGAACUCCAUCUAAAGCUAAAUAUUGGCGAGAGACCGAUAGCGAACAAGUACCGUGAGGGAAAGAUGAAAAGCACUUUGGAAAGAGAGUGAAACAGUACGUGAAAUUGUUGAAAGGGAAACGCUUGAAGUCAGUCGCGUCGACCGAGACUCAGCCUUGCCUUGGCUUGGUGUACUUCUCGGCCCGACGGGUCAGCGUCGAUUUCGCUCCUCGGAUAAUGGCAAGGGAAAGGUGGCACCUUUACGGGUGUGUUAUAGUCUCCUGUCGCAUGCGAGGGGUGGGAUCGAGGAACUCAGCGCGCACCUUGGUGUCGGGGCUUCUGCCCACGUCACGCGCUUAGGAUGCUGGCGUAAUGGCUUUAAACGACC
RNAcentral lists this ribosomal RNA (627 nucleotides) under uncultured Russulaceae. RNAcentral's name for it is "LSU rRNA". It matches the Rfam family "Eukaryotic large subunit ribosomal RNA", at positions 47 to 649 of the family's 3401-position model. Lineage: Eukaryota; Fungi; Basidiomycota; Agaricomycetes; Russulales; Russulaceae. The record is from RNAcentral.